UCCAUUGUGCGAGAGAGUUUGAGUGUUGUUGGGAGAGGUCGAGGCAGGGGAUGGUGAUGGUGGUCCAUAGGUUUUUCCAACGUUUGGAGAGAAGACUUGUGGCGACGGCAUCUUUUAGCUGCGUCAAUGAAAGAAUUUCAAGGAUUAACGAGUCUGGGUUGUUUCUCGUAGUGGAACUCUUCUAAAUAGUGCAGAUUAGGGCAAUUAUUCUUUCACUCCUCUCUCUCCAGCGCCGAUCUCCCUCCCUCGAUAUCCCCAAUUCUCUCGCGCCACCGCCACCGAGAUCCUCCCCGCCCUGCCGAUCUCUCUAUUUCUAAGAAAUGUCUCAAGAAGCAUCUACAGGAAGCACAACUUCACCUUCUGAUGACUCUUCGCCACAGUGUGUCCUGGAGAUGUUCCGCAUGGUAUUGUUACCUGAUAAUAAUCAUAAUAUAGAAGAGGAAGAUACAGCAGAUUCUUCUUUUGAUUGGAGUGAAUGGGAUGAAGAUGAUUUUUACACUUUACCGUGUAUGGAGGAUGAACUUGGCCGUAAAAUGAUAAAGCCCAAGGGUGAAAAGUUGGUUCCUUCCUCCGAUGUAUCCGACAUAUGUAAUGAUGCUUUCAAGAAGAUAGUUGACCCGAUAGGCCAUAAAGAUCUUUAUGAUGAAUACAUGAACAUUUAUUGGGAAGAGUUUAAGAAAUGAGUUAAUACGGAGGGUUAUGAUCAAGACCUUUACAAGAAAGCUUUUAUUAAAAAAUGUAAAGUUAAGUACCGUGACUACAUCAACAAAUUGAAGAAACGGGGGAAGAAGAAACCGGACUACUUCACGGAUGCCUUGUGGAAGGCUUAUACUGACGCUUGGAAGACGUAUAACGAUGCCUUGUGGAAGACUUACAAUGACGCUAGCAAGACGCAUGAUCCAACUUGUGAGAGAAUAACGGGAAGCGCUCUUAUUGUUUGAAGGACGACGUUAUGGCAAGGGUUGAAGAACUGCGAACUCAAGGGAUUUAGAAUCCAAAUCAUUAUGCUAUUUACAUGGAACUUUAUGGGAAGGCGAAGAAGAGAAUUAAGAUUUCUAGCACUGGACAGGCAAAGAGCACACACUCCUCAUCUGCCACCACCUCGUCCGCAUCUGUGGGCACAACCAACAUCGAGCGUAUCAAGAUUGGUGAGCUCUACGAGCAACAAGCACGAGAAGCUCGAUAGCAGGUGUCAAACGAGAUGAAACUCAAGUUACAGGAGGAAUUUGAAAAAUUGCUGGCGGAGUAUGAUAAGCAAAGAGCAGCGUUGGUGUAGGAAAUGAAGAUUCUAAUGGAACUAGGGGUGAGUCGAUACGAGAUAUCGUAUCGAAAACGUUGUAUCGUAUAUCGUAUCGAAAAUAUCGACAUGAAAGAAUUUCAUAUCGUUAU
RNA transcript from Salvia splendens (bonfire salvia), 1389 nucleotides. RefSeq lists it as uncharacterized. The record is from RefSeq and is a predicted model, not a curated record. The transcript has 6 exons. Lineage: Eukaryota; Viridiplantae; Streptophyta; Magnoliopsida; Lamiales; Lamiaceae.